RNAcentral lists this ribosomal RNA (470 nucleotides) under uncultured bacterium. RNAcentral's name for it is "bacterial SSU rRNA". It matches the Rfam family "Bacterial small subunit ribosomal RNA", at positions 8 to 526 of the family's 1533-position model. The record is from RNAcentral.
AGAGUUUGAUCCUGGCUCAGAACGAACGCUGGCGGCAGGCUUAACACAUGCAAGUCGAACGCCCCGCAAGGGGAGUGGCAGACGGGUGUGUAACGCGUGGGAAUCUACCCUUUUCUACGGAACAACUGAGGGAAACUUCAGCUAAUACCGUAUACGGCCGAGAGGCGAAAGAUUUAUCGGAGAAGGAUGAGCCCGCGUUGGAUUAGCUAGUUGGUGGGGUAAAGGCCUACCAAGGCGACGAUCCAUAGCUGGUCUGAGAGGAUGAUCAGCCACACUGGGACUGAGACACGGCCCAGACUCCUACGGGAGGCAGCAGUGGGGAAUAUUGGACAAUGGGCGCAAGCCUGAUCCAGCCAUGCCGCGUGAGUGAUGAAGGCCCUAGGGUUGUAAAGCUCUUUCACCGGUGACGAUGAUGACGGUAGCCGGCGAAGAAGCCCCGGCUAACUCCGUGCCAGCAGCGGCGGUAAUAC